This 825-nucleotide long non-coding RNA is filed under the name Citrus x clementina. RNAcentral describes it as "Citrus clementina (C. clementina) long non-coding RNA (CCLE_LNC001212)". Lineage: Eukaryota; Viridiplantae; Streptophyta; Magnoliopsida; Sapindales; Rutaceae. The record is from RNAcentral.
GCGUCUUGGCGCCCCGACCUUCGGGGGCUGAUUUUUGGGCACGGCUGUGCCCGUGGCCUAAUUUUGGCACACGGAGGACGCCCGCAAAGUCUGGGGCCAUUCCGAGUCCGGCGGACGAACUUCGCCCACGCCCCCCACCAAGGCUAUAGCCCACCCGUUUUUUGGCCAUUUUUCCGCUGGGGGGUCUUGGCGCCCCGACCUUCGGGGGCUGAUUUUUGGGCGCGGCUGUGCCCGUGGCCUAAUUUUGGCACACGGAGGCCGCCCGCAAAGUCUGGGGCCAUUCCGAGUCCGCGCGGACGAACUUCGCCCACGCCCCCCACCAAGGCUAUAGCCCACCCGUUUUUUGGCCAUUUUUCCGUUGGGGGGUCUUGGCACCCCGACCAUCGGGGGCUGAUUUUUGGGCGCAGCUGUGCCCGUGGCGUAUUUGUGGCACACGGAGGCCGCCCGCAAAGUCUGGGGCCAUUCCGAGUCCGGCGGACGAACUUCGCCCACGCCCCCCACCAAGGCUAUAGCCCACCCGUUUUUUGGCCAUUUUUCCGCUGGGGGGUCUUGGCACCCCGACCGUCGGGGGCUGAUUUUUUGGCGCGGGUGUGCCCGUUGCCUAAUAUUGGCAAACGGAGGCCGCCCGCAAAGUCUGGGGCCAUUCCGAGUCCGGCGGACGAACUUCGCCCACGCCCCCCACCAAGGCUAUAGCCCACCCGUUUUUUGGCCAUUUUUCCGCUGGGGGGUCUUGGCGCCCCGACCUUCGGGGGCUGAUUUUUGGGCACGGCUGUGCCCGUGGCCUAAUUUUGGCACACGGAGGACGCCCGCAAAGUCUGGGGCCAU